CAGCCGCCACGGUAAUACGAAGGGUGCAAGCGUUACUCGGAAUUACUGGGCGUAAAGCGUGCGUAGGUGGUGGUUUAAGUCCGUUGUGAAAGCCCUGGGCUCAACCUGGGAAUUGCAGUGGAUACUGGGUCACUAGAGUGUGGUAGAGGAUAGUGGAAUUUCCGGUGUAGCGGUGAAAUGCGUAGAGAUCUGGAGGAAUACCGAUGGCGAAGGCAGCCAUCUGGCCUAAUACUGACGCUGAGGUACGAAAGCAUGGGGAGCAAACAGGAUUAGAUACCCCCGUAGUCCCUGUCUCUUAUAC
This 301-nucleotide ribosomal RNA is filed under the name uncultured bacterium. Its description in RNAcentral is "partial 16S ribosomal RNA". It matches the Rfam family "Bacterial small subunit ribosomal RNA", at positions 509 to 807 of the family's 1533-position model. The record is from RNAcentral.